AUGGUAAUAUGUACGAACUUUCUCCAUAUAAAUCAGAUUCGAAUUAUUAUAAAAAAGAAAUACCACAAAAGGAAGAAAAAACAAAUGACCAAUGGUUUUUGUCAAAAAUAUUUUCUCCCAGUAAAAAUUACGAACAAAUUAAUAUCGAAAUGGGUCAUAAUACUCCUACUGCUGGCAAUGGUCUUGGCAAUAGCCUUGGUAAUAGUCCUGACAAUGGUCCUGACAGUGGUAGUAGAAGUAGUAGUAACAGCAGCAACAGCAACAGCAACAGCAGCAACAGCAACAGCAGUAGCAGUAGUGACUAUAAUAAAAGGACUAAAAAAAAAAAGUUCUAAACAUUAUAAAACUAACCAAACGACAUCAACAAACACAAUUAGUAAAUAUAAUACCACACCUAAUCACAACACAACAAAUAAUAAAAAUAAAAUCUCAAAUUACACUGAUGAAGUUCAUUUUUUUUUAUCAUCUAUGAUGAAUAUUAUAAGUAUACUAUCAGAUCGUAUUAAAUUUAGUUUUUAUAACAUUGCAAAAAUUAAUUGUUUAGCUAUAUUAGAAGAAUGUUAUUUAUAUAUAGAAUUAUUAACAAAAUUUUCUUAUUUUUGUAGUAUAUAUAAUAUAAACAAUUUUAUUAUUUCUUUGAUGAAUAAACGUGUAGAACAUCACCUAUGUUAUUUAAAUAGUGUUCUAGAAAAAUUUAUUUACGAAAAAAGUGUAAUUAUUAAACCUUACAGUCUAUAUGAAAUGGCUGCAUCAGUAAAUUUAUCACAUAGUUCGCAUUCAGAGAUGGGACAAGAAAUAAAUUCGGAGGUGGGACAAACAUCUUGGACUCCAUCUAGUUCAAAAAAAGAGAAACCCAAAAAAUAUAGUCAUAAUGAAUUGUCUCUAUUUACCCAACGAGUUUUAUAUAUAACCUACAAAUCUAUACUUAAUUAUACAACUAUACUUUUAAAUAUUAUUAACAAUAAAUUUUUUAAAGUUUCUUAUUUUGUAAUACAUUUUUAUAUAUUAAUAUUAAAAUCAACUCGACUGGUUACAACUAUAAUUGAAAAUUUUGGAAAAAGGAACACAACUCUUAUAAGAACGAUAAAAUACAAGGGAGGAAUCUCGUACGUACCUAUAUGCCUAAAUAUUGUAAAUUCAAUGAAAGAAAAGAAAAAAAGAAAAAAUCCAUUAUAUAAGAGGUACUACUAA
Molecule: long non-coding RNA, 1191 nt
Filed under: Piliocolobus tephrosceles (Ugandan red Colobus)
Lineage: Eukaryota; Metazoa; Chordata; Mammalia; Primates; Cercopithecidae
Description: lncRNA (ENSPTEG00000012238.1)
Source: RNAcentral